Molecule: ribosomal RNA, 454 nt
Filed under: uncultured bacterium
Lineage: Bacteria
Description: partial 16S ribosomal RNA
Rfam family: Bacterial small subunit ribosomal RNA
Source: RNAcentral
GAUGAACGCUGACAGAAUGCUUAACACAUGCAAGUCAACUUGAACUUCGGUUUGGGUGGCGGACGGGUGAGUAACGCGUACAGAACUUGCCUCACAGCUAGGGACAACAUUUGGAAACGAAUGCUAAUACCUGAUAUUAUGAUUUUAGGGCAUCCUAGAAUUAUGAAAGCUAUAUGCGCUGUGAGAGAGCUUUGCGUCCCAUUAGCUAGUUGGAGAGGUAACGGCUCACCAAGGCGAUGAUGGGUAGCCGGCCUGAGAGGGUGAACGGCCACAAGGGGACUGAGAGACGGCCCUUACGCCUACGGGAGGCAGCAGGGGGGAAUAAUGGACAAUGGACCAAGAGUCGGAUCCAGCAAUUCUGUGUGCACGAUGAAGUUUUUCGGAAUGUAAAGUGCUUUCAGUUGGGAAGAAAAAAAUGACGGUACCAACAGAAGAAGUGACGGCUAAAUACGUG